RNAcentral lists this ribosomal RNA (1421 nucleotides) under Pseudomonas sp. CFBP 8770. RNAcentral's name for it is "partial 23S ribosomal RNA". It matches the Rfam family "Bacterial large subunit ribosomal RNA", at positions 1528 to 2925 of the family's 2925-position model. Lineage: Bacteria; Pseudomonadati; Pseudomonadota; Gammaproteobacteria; Pseudomonadales; Pseudomonadaceae. The record is from RNAcentral.
GAUCUUAGGUAAAUCCGGGAUCUUAAGGCCGAGAGCUGAUGACGAGUUGUCUUUUAGACGACGAAGUGGUUGAUGCCAUGCUUCCAAGAAAAGCUUCUAAGCUUCAGGUAACCAGGAACCGUACCCCAAACCGACACAGGUGGUUGGGUAGAGAAUACCAAGGCGCUUGAGAGAACUCGGGUGAAGGAACUAGGCAAAAUGGCACCGUAACUUCGGGAGAAGGUGCGCCGGUGAGGGUGAAGGACUUGCUCCGUAAGCUCAUGCCGGUCGAAGAUACCAGGCCGCUGCGACUGUUUAUUAAAAACACAGCACUCUGCAAACACGAAAGUGGACGUAUAGGGUGUGACGCCUGCCCGGUGCCGGAAGGUUAAUUGAUGGGGUUAGCGCAAGCGAAGCUCUUGAUCGAAGCCCCGGUAAACGGCGGCCGUAACUAUAACGGUCCUAAGGUAGCGAAAUUCCUUGUCGGGUAAGUUCCGACCUGCACGAAUGGCGUAACGAUGGCGGCGCUGUCUCCACCCGAGACUCAGUGAAAUUGAAAUCGCUGUGAAGAUGCAGUGUAUCCGCGGCUAGACGGAAAGACCCCGUGAACCUUUACUAUAGCUUUGCACUGGACUUUGAAUUUGCUUGUGUAGGAUAGGUGGGAGGCUUUGAAGCGUGGACGCCAGUCUGCGUGGAGCCAACCUUGAAAUACCACCCUGGCAACUUUGAGGUUCUAACUCAGGUCCGUUAUCCGGAUCGAGGACAGUGUAUGGUGGGUAGUUUGACUGGGGCGGUCUCCUCCUAAAGAGUAACGGAGGAGUACGAAGGUGCGCUCAGACCGGUCGGAAAUCGGUCGUAGAGUAUAAAGGCAAAAGCGCGCUUGACUGCGAGACAGACACGUCGAGCAGGUACGAAAGUAGGUCUUAGUGAUCCGGUGGUUCUGUAUGGAAGGGCCAUCGCUCAACGGAUAAAAGGUACUCCGGGGAUAACAGGCUGAUACCGCCCAAGAGUUCAUAUCGACGGCGGUGUUUGGCACCUCGAUGUCGGCUCAUCACAUCCUGGGGCUGAAGCCGGUCCCAAGGGUAUGGCUGUUCGCCAUUUAAAGUGGUACGCGAGCUGGGUUUAGAACGUCGUGAGACAGUUCGGUCCCUAUCUGCCGUGGACGUUUGAGAUUUGAGAGGGGCUGCUCCUAGUACGAGAGGACCGGAGUGGACGAACCUCUGGUGUUCCGGUUGUCACGCCAGUGGCAUUGCCGGGUAGCUAUGUUCGGGAAAGAUAACCGCUGAAAGCAUCUAAGCGGGAAACUUGCCUCAAGAUGAGAUCUCACUGGAACCUUGAGUUCCCUGAAGGGCCGUCGAAGACUACGACGUUGAUAGGUGGGGUGUGUAAGCGCUGUGAGGCGUUGAGCUAACCCAUACUAAUUGCCCGUGAGGCUUGACCAU